This 666-nucleotide ribosomal RNA is filed under the name uncultured bacterium. RNAcentral's name for it is "bacterial SSU rRNA". It matches the Rfam family "Bacterial small subunit ribosomal RNA", at positions 74 to 719 of the family's 1533-position model. The record is from RNAcentral.
CGGAGCUUGCUCCAUCGGAAAAAGAGGAGUGGCGAACGGGUGAGUAACACGUGGGUAACCUGCCCAUCAGAAGGGGAUAACACUUGGAAACAGGUGCUAAUACCGUAUAACAAUCGAAACCGCAUGGUUUCGAUUUGAAAGGCGCUUUCGGGUGUCGCUGAUGGAUGGACCCGCGGUGCAUUAGCUAGUUGGUGAGGUAACGGCUCACCAAGGCGACGAUGCAUAGCCGACCUGAGAGGGUGAUCGGCCACAUUGGGACUGAGACACGGCCCAAACUCCUACGGGAGGCAGCAGUAGGGAAUCUUCGGCAAUGGACGAAAGUCUGACCGAGCAACGCCGCGUGAGUGAAGAAGGUUUUCGGAUCGUAAAACUCUGUUGUUAGAGAAGAACAAGGAUGAGAGUAACUGUUCAUCCCUUGACGGUAUCUAACCAGAAAGCCACGGCUAACUACGUGCCAGCAGCCGCGGUAAUACGUAGGUGGCAAGCGUUGUCCGGAUUUAUUGGGCGUAAAGCGAGCGCAGGCGGUUUCUUAAGUCUGAUGUGAAAGCCCCCGGCUCAACCGGGGAGGGUCAUUGGAAACUGGGAGACUUGAGUGCAGAAGAGGAGAGUGGAAUUCCAUGUGUAGCGGUGAAAUGCGUAGAUAUAUGGAGGAACACCAGUGGCGAA